UGCCCAGAAUGAAUAUCACAAGCAAGAACACGAUUUGCACCUGCUUCUGUAAUAAGGUUUGCAACAAGUUUGGCUGCAAUAGAUUCACGACCUUGAGUCUUUCUAUCAGCUCUGGCAUAUCCAAAAUAGGGAAUCACAGCAGUGAUAUUCUUGGCUGAUGCUCUCCUACAGGCAUCUAUCAUGAUCAAAAGCUCCGUGAGAUUCUCAUUUGCUGGGGGGCAAGUGGGCUGUAGUAAAUAUACAUCACAUCCUCUAACACUCUCUU
Molecule: unclassified non-coding RNA, 265 nt
Filed under: Hevea brasiliensis (rubber tree)
Lineage: Eukaryota; Viridiplantae; Streptophyta; Magnoliopsida; Malpighiales; Euphorbiaceae
Source: RNAcentral